AGAGACAUAGUUUAGUGGUAGAAUGCUUGCCUAGCAUGAAUGAGGCCUUGGGUUCAAUCUCCAGCACUA
RNAcentral lists this transfer RNA (69 nucleotides) under Marmota monax (woodchuck). RNAcentral's name for it is "tRNA.Ala". Lineage: Eukaryota; Metazoa; Chordata; Mammalia; Rodentia; Sciuridae. The record is from RNAcentral.